Molecule: ribosomal RNA, 587 nt
Filed under: uncultured bacterium
Lineage: Bacteria
Description: bacterial SSU rRNA
Rfam family: Bacterial small subunit ribosomal RNA
Source: RNAcentral
AACGAACGCUGGCGGCAGGCCUAACACAUGCAAGUCGAGCGCACCUUCGGGUGAGCGGCGGACGGGUUAGUAACGCGUGGGAACGUACCCUUUUCUACGGAAUAGCCUUUGGAAACGAAGAGUAAUACCGUAUACGCCCUUUGGGGGAAAGAUUUAUCGGAGAAGGAUCGGCCCGCGUUAGGUUAGAUAGUUGGUGGGGUAACGGCCUACCAAGUCUACGAUCUAUAGCUGGUUUUAGAGGAUGAUCAGCAACACUGGGACUGAGACACGGCCCAGACUCCUACGGGAGGCAGCAGUGGGGAAUCUUAGACAAUGGGCGCAAGCCUGAUCUAGCCAUGCCGCGUGAGUGAUGAAGGCCUUAGGGUCGUAAAGCUCUUUCGCCCGUGAUGAUAAUGACAGUAGCAGGUAAAGAAACCCCGGCUAACUCCGUGCCAGCAGCCGCGGUAAUACGGAGGGGGUUAGCGUUGUUCGGAAUUACUGGGCGUAAAGCGCACGUAGGCGGAUUGGAAAGUUGGGGGUGAAAUCCCGGGGCUCAACCCCGGAACUGCCUCCAAAACUAUCAGUCUAGAGUUCGAGAGAGGUGAGUG